Vombatus ursinus (common wombat) is the source of this 537-nucleotide long non-coding RNA. RefSeq lists it as uncharacterized. The record is from RefSeq and is a predicted model, not a curated record. The transcript has 3 exons. NCBI's taxonomy places the organism in Eukaryota, Metazoa, Chordata, Mammalia, Diprotodontia, Vombatidae.
AAACAUAAGUGUUUAAUUGCAGCAAGUAAAGACAAAAGCCCUUUAAUAAUAUUUCUCUACCAUCACCACUGUAUGUGGCUGAUUUCCAGGAGGAGCUUACAGCAAGAACUUUUUGAAUGACAGGAUGCAGUUUGCCAAAUUAAGGUUUCACUAGACUACCAAAAUGGACCAUCACACACAAAAAAGUUAAGAACUCCUGAACUUGAUGGAUUAGCUCUAAAAUUCUAUGGUCUUGACAUUAUUCCCUUCAACACUUGUCUCCUCCUUCCUACUGGCUGCUUUUCUCAGUUUCAUUUACAUCAAACUUUGGAAGUGUCUUGGCAGGCACAAAGGUUUUAGAGUUCAUAUAUAUGGGUUUUAUUACAGAUAAUACUUGAGUCACUUACAUAAGAGUGUUUGCUCCAGCUGGAACUGCCACAGGAACUACCUUUUCCCUUUUCCUUGCUGCUACAGACCAUGGAUACUUUGAGAAGCAAAAUUUUAUGUUGGAAAAAAACAUCAAACUUUGAGUCUGAAGACCUGCAUUCAAAUUCUGCC